GUUCUUUUACGUGUUGCUGAUAGCCGGCUACCUAGCUAGCGCCGCUAGCACCGCUAGCGUAUGACGACACUACGCAAUGACGACACCCCUCCUCCGCUUUGAAAUUGACCGUAGACAUGAUUUUCUGAGACAACGUGGCUAUCGUUUCACCGGUAACGCGUCUUUCCCCCCUCCUCCGCUUUGGACUUGAACUUACAGUGAUUUUCUGAAGUGUUUACUAAGACACACCGUAAGCUUUUAUAAGGUAAGUGUAUCUCUCUGUCUCUGGUUUGAAAUUUAGCUUUGAAAAUUAUUUUUUUAUGUGUUUCUUUAUCGAUUUCUUUGUUUCGGCACGUUCGACACGAUGCUAAAGCCAGUUAGCGGAUAUUCAGCUAAGGCAAGCGUUUCUGUCCCUCCUCCGGUUUUGAAAUUGACCUUUAAAAGUGCUUUUCUGUGUCUUGACGCUGAUAUCUACAAAAUGACUGUGAUUUUAUUCCAGUGGUAUCGUUUGUAAUUGAAACUUUUAAGAUGCGGCUCUCAAAAAAUGGCUUCAUUGUAGUCGGGUUUCACACCUCUCUUUGUCUCGUGGUUUUGUUGCUGGCUAGUUAGCGGAUAUUAAACGUCUCCCGGUUUGAAAUUGAUUUUGAAAGUGAUUUACUAUGAUAAGGUAAGCUUAUCUCUGUCUCUGGUUUGAUAUUUAGCUUUGAAAGUGAUUUUUUUUGUGUGUUUCUUUAUCGAUUUCUUUGUUUCGGCACGUUCGACAGGAUGCUAAAGCCUUUUAGCGGAUAGUCAGCUAAGGUGUUAACUACAGCAGCCUUUAAUACCUCAACUCUUGAUUCAGCCAAGGUAAGUGCCCCCCCUUAUAUUUUCUAUGUAUGCAUUCAGCUGAUAUUUAGAAAAAAAUAGGUGUGUUUAGCGCUGGAUGUCAUUUUAUUCCAGAGCUGUUGUUUGUAAUUAAAACUUUUAAGAUUAGAUGGUACAGUGUUUUUACUCCCUUCCAAACAGUAAAGUUCCUCUUUGUCUCUCAGUAGGAAAUUUAAACCAGACAGUACAAGGCUACAUUUCAGUGUUACAAGCCAAUCAGUUUGCUAAUUGUUCUGUGAGAUUUGUUUGCAAAGUUUAAGGUGUUAAGUAGGACUGUGAACAUCUGGGUCUGCUUGCUGCUGGCAUUCUGCCAGAGCCCCAGCAACAAGACCGCCUCCCAGCAACGAGACUGCCUGUCAGCCUUGCAAGGUACC
This is a long non-coding RNA of Oreochromis niloticus (Nile tilapia), 1217 nucleotides long. RefSeq lists it as uncharacterized. The transcript is spliced from 2 exons. The record is from RefSeq and is a predicted model, not a curated record. NCBI's taxonomy places the organism in Eukaryota, Metazoa, Chordata, Actinopteri, Cichliformes, Cichlidae.